GUAGGUGGCAAGCGUUGUCCGGAAUUAUUGGGCGUAAAGCGCGCGCAGGCGGUCCUUUAAGUCUGAUGUGAAAGCCCACGGCUCAACCGUGGAGGGUCAUUGGAAACUGGGGGACUUGAGUACAGAAGAGGAAAGCGGAAUUCCAAGUGUAGCGGUGAAAUGCGUAGAGAUUUGGAGGAACACCAGUGGCGAAGGCGGCUUUCUGGUCUGUAACUGACGCUGAGGCGCGAAAGCGUGGGGAGCAAACAGGGAUUAGAUACCCUGGUAGUCCACGCCGUAAACGAUGAGUGCUAAGUGUUAGGGGGUUUCCCGCCCCUUAGUGCUGCAGCUAACGCAUUAAGCACUCCGCCUGGGGAGUACGGCCGUAAGGCUG
RNAcentral lists this ribosomal RNA (373 nucleotides) under uncultured organism. RNAcentral describes it as "partial 16S ribosomal RNA". It matches the Rfam family "Bacterial small subunit ribosomal RNA", at positions 527 to 896 of the family's 1533-position model. The record is from RNAcentral.